UGGUCGUGGAUGAGUGGCGAACGGGUGAGUAACACGUGAGUAACCUGCCCCUGACUUCGGGAUAAGCCUGGGAAACUGGGUCUAAUACCGGAUACGACCGGAUGAGGCAUCUUGUUCGGUGGAAAGUUGUUUCGGUUGGGGAUGGGCUCGCGGCCUAUCAGUUUGUUGGUGAGGUAAUGGCUCACCAAGACGACGACGGGUAGCCGGCCUGAGAGGGCGACCGGCCACACUGGGACUGAGACACGGCCCAGACUCCUACGGGAGGCAGCAGUGGGGAAUAUUGCACAAUGGGGGGAACCCUGAUGCAGCGACGCAGCGUGCGGGAUGACGGCCUUCGGGUUGUAAACCGCUUUCAGCAGGGAAGAAGCCUUCGGGUGACGGUACCUGCAGAAGAAGUACCGGCUAACUACGUGCCAGCAGCCGCGGUAAUACGUAGGGUACGAGCGUUGUCCGGAAUUAUUGGGCGUAAAGAGCUCGUAGGUGGUUGGUCACGUCUGCUGUGGAAACGCAACGCUUAACGUUGCGCGGGCAGUGGGUACGGGCUGACUAGAGUGCAGUAGGGGAGUCUGGAAUUCCUGGUGUAGCGGUGAAAUGCGCAGAUAUCAGGAGGAACACCGGUGGCGAAGGCGGGACUCUGG
RNAcentral lists this ribosomal RNA (638 nucleotides) under Brevibacterium linens. RNAcentral's name for it is "bacterial SSU rRNA". It matches the Rfam family "Bacterial small subunit ribosomal RNA", at positions 82 to 732 of the family's 1533-position model. Lineage: Bacteria; Bacillati; Actinomycetota; Actinomycetes; Micrococcales; Brevibacteriaceae. The record is from RNAcentral.